AUGCACCUUCUCCCUUCUAGAAAUAAAAAUGAAAAAUUAGGCUUUUACAUGAAAAAUUUGAUAGAAUUGGUAAUAUGUUCAAAUUUGAGAAAUUUUUAGGUAAUUAGGCAUCUCAUAAUUUGAGGUUCGUUGGCUAUGUUGAUAUACGAUUUAGCUCCUAGUUCUAAUUUUCUAAUUUGCCAUGGCAAGUUGAACAACUGCCCAAACAACGACACAUGAAAAUAACUAAAACGAUCAACUUCAGGAGACGCGGGAGUCGUAGUUCAUUGUCUCUCUCGUUCACUCAAUUUUUCUCUCUUUUGGCUGAGAAGCUCUCACUCUCUUGGUCUCCAGAGUCGACGAGCAAAUCAGCUGCAGAAACUAAGAAAUUGAUUCCACUCUCUCUUAUUUGAGACAAGAUGGUGUUGUGCUACCCAUCAACGCCAAAGAAAAUGGCAAUGACAGUGGGUUGCUUUGUAGCUGGAGCUGCGCUUUUUGCUGUUGGUUCACGUCUUUCUUACGUUAAUGUUGCUCCUCAGCAAGCUCGAAUCAAAGCUCGAAAUGAUUUUGUUAAAGAACGUUUGAGAAAGAAACAUGGCAAAGGAUAGAAGUGAUGGUGAUCUACUCUUAAUCUGCUUCUAAUUAUUGCCUUCUGGUCCCUUCCAUUCAUAAAGAGAUGCAGCAGUUCUAAUACAGUUAUUUUCCUUUUUCUUUUCUUUUUUUCCUGAAAUGUGUAAUUUCCUAAAAUUUUAAAUGGAGCCAGUUACCCACUACAUCAAUAGUGUUCUAAAGAUUUUAAUACAUAUGUUAAUGAUUUUGUCUGAUUAAAUUGA
Ricinus communis (castor bean) is the source of this 812-nucleotide long non-coding RNA. RefSeq lists it as uncharacterized. The record is from RefSeq and is a predicted model, not a curated record. Lineage: Eukaryota; Viridiplantae; Streptophyta; Magnoliopsida; Malpighiales; Euphorbiaceae. The transcript has 2 exons.